Xenopus tropicalis (tropical clawed frog) is the source of this 93-nucleotide small nucleolar RNA. Ensembl annotates it as small nucleolar RNA, C/D box 83B. Its record names the gene SNORD83B. Lineage: Eukaryota; Metazoa; Chordata; Amphibia; Anura; Pipidae. The record is from Ensembl.
GAUGUCCUGUGAUGAAGACAUGGAAUUAGCGCUGGGCGCAGCGCCCGAAAUGCAUGAGGAACUAUUCCAUGCUGCCUUCCUUCUGAGGACUGA